GUCGAGCGGUAGCACAGAGAGCUUGCUCUCGGGUGACGAGCGGCGGACGGGUGAGUAAUGUCUGGGAAACUGCCUGAUGGAGGGGGAUAACUACUGGAAACGGUAGCUAAUACCGCAUAACGUCGCAAGACCAAAGUGGGGGACCUUCGGGCCUCAUGCCAUCAGAUGUGCCCAGAUGGGAUUAGCUGGUAGGUGGGGUAACGGCUCACCUAGGCGACGAUCCCUAGCUGGUCUGAGAGGAUGACCAGCCACACUGGAACUGAGACACGGUCCAGACUCCUACGGGAGGCAGCAGUGGGGAAUAUUGCACAAUGGGCGCAAGCCUGAUGCAGCCAUGCCGCGUGUGUGAAGAAGGCCUUCGGGUUGUAAAGCACUUUCAGCGGGGAGGAAGGCGGUGAGGUUAAUAACCUCAUCGAUUGACGUUACCCGCAGAAGAAGCACCGGCUAACUCCGUGCCAGCAGCCGCGGUAAUACGGAGGGUGCAAGCGUUAAUCGGAAUUACUGGGCGUAAAGCGCACGCAGGCGGUCUGUCAAGUCGGAUGUGAAAUCCCCGGGCUCAACCUGGGAACUGCAUUCGAAACUGGCAGGCUAGAGUCUUGUAGAGGGGGGUAGAAUUCCAGGUGUAGCGGUGAAAUGCGUAGAGAUCUGGAGGAAUACCGGUGGCGAAGGCGGCCCCCUGGACAAAGACUGACGCUCAGGUGCGAAAGCGUGGGGAGCAAACAGGAUUAGAUACCCUGGUAGUCCACGCUGUAAACGAUGUCGAUUUGGAGGUUGUGCCCUUGAGGCGUGGCUUCCGGAGCUAACGCGUUAAAUCGACCGCCUGGGGAGUACGGCCGCAAGGUUAAAACUCAAAUGAAUUGACGGGGGCCCGCACAAGCGGUGGAGCAUGUGGUUUAAUUCGAUGCAACGCGAAGAACCUUACCUGGUCUUGACAUCCACAGAACUUUCCAGAGAUGGAUUGGUGCCUUCGGGAACUGUGAGACAGGUGCUGCAUGGCUGUCGUCAGCUCGUGUUGUGAAAUGUUGGGUUAAGUCCCGCAACGAGCGCAACCCUUAUCCUUUGUUGCCAGCGGUUAGGCCGGGAACUCAAAGGAGACUGCCAGUGAUAAACUGGAGGAAGGUGGGGAUGACGUCAAGUCAUCAUGGCCCUUACGACCAGGGCUACACACGUGCUACAAUGGCAUAUACAAAGAGAAGCGACCUCGCGAGAGCAAGCGGACCUCAUAAAGUAUGUCGUAGUCCGGAUUGGAGUCUGCAACUCGACUCCAUGAAGUCGGAAUCGCUAGUAAUCGUAGAUCAGAAUGCUACGGUGAAUACGUUCCCGGGCCUUGUACACACCGCCCGUCACACCAUGGGAGUGGGUUGCAAAAGAAGUAGGUAGCUUAACCUUCGGGAGG
Molecule: ribosomal RNA, 1396 nt
Filed under: Klebsiella sp.
Lineage: Bacteria; Pseudomonadati; Pseudomonadota; Gammaproteobacteria; Enterobacterales; Enterobacteriaceae
Description: bacterial SSU rRNA
Rfam family: Bacterial small subunit ribosomal RNA
Source: RNAcentral